Carassius gibelio (silver crucian carp) is the source of this 2265-nucleotide RNA transcript. It is a transcript of the gene named adenosine receptor A2b-like, with no coding region annotated. Lineage: Eukaryota; Metazoa; Chordata; Actinopteri; Cypriniformes; Cyprinidae. The transcript has 5 exons. The record is from RefSeq and is a predicted model, not a curated record.
AUCGCAAAAGACUUAGCGCUCGCAGCUCAGUUGUUUCACUGAUUCUUGAUCACAGGAUGAAGCGGCAUCUGUAUCUAGCAGUCGUCCAGUGUGGAAAUGCUGGCUCUGGAUUGGUCAGUCGCCUGCUCUCACGGGGGUCCUAUAGUCUGUCUGCUCUCUGAUAUCGACUUCACUCACACACUUCUGACGCUGAACGCGCCGACGGAAUCAUUCACGAAUCAUGAACCUCUGAGGACUCAAGUUUUUGUAUUUCGCUUUCCGAGGGGUUGUCUUUUCAUCUUAAUGCGAUUUCCAGCUUAUUUAGAUUUUCUCGUUGUUAUUCCAGCGGUCAUCAACUCUGAUGGGAAUGCAGCGGAAUACUAAAUGUUAUAGAAAGUCAGGCAAGCAACACAUGGAACGGGGACUGGACCAUCACAUCUAACACCAUCUCAUGGGAUCAGAAUGGAUUUUCAUUCAUUUUAUUUAAUACCAAAUCUCUCUUAAAAAUCUGAGGGGAAAUGUCUGUAGAUACUUUUUAAAAUACUUACCAAGUUUUUAUUUUUAAUUGGCGAUCCAACAAUCUGGAACAUUUUUAACAAGGUAACUCUUGAUUGUUGGUCUUCUGGUAAGGCUGACACUAGGCCUUGUGAGGUAGCUGUUGCGUGGAGCUGCAGCUAUGGACAUUGAGGCGAGGGAUCUUCCUUUCUCCCCAGGAAGCUCACCAUGCUGAACGAUGUCUUUGACGUGUCGUACAUGAUUCUGGAGCUGCUGAUUGCCCUGCUCUCGGUCCUGGGCAACGUGUUGGUCUGCUGGGCAGUGGGCCUCAAUAGCAACCUCCAGAGCAUCACCAACUUCUUUGUUGUUUCGCUGGCCGUGGCGGACAUCGCAGUGGGUGUGCUGGCCAUUCCCUUCUCCAUCGUGAUUAGCACUGGAUUCUGUGCCAGUUUCUACGGUUGUCUGUUCAUCGCCUGCUUCGUCCUGGUGCUGACCCAGAGCUCCAUAUUUAGUCUUCUAGCUAUUGCCAUCGACCGCUACAUUGCUAUCAAGAUCCCGCUGAGAUUCUAGGCCAGGAGGGGAGUUCAUGCAUAGUUCAGUGGUGGCACAGCAGAACAAUAUUCUACAUAUGAGUCUAGUCUACAAAUUACAUACAGACACAUACAUUACUGCACGCUGCUGAGACAGUAAACACGUGUUAAGACUGAGAUGUUCAUGUGGAUCCUUUGAGGAAUACAAAGCAUUUAUUUGGAACAGACAAAUGCAAUCUGGAUCCCCAAGGUAACUUAAAGUAAGCUUCAGCUCAGGUCCAAUAUGGGUUAAUAUUGGAGAUGAAUUUAAUUGAGUUACUUAAAACUUUAAUGUAACAUGAAUUUCAAUGGUGAAAUUAUAUUCUUACAUUUUUGAAGUUGUUUCUGCACUACUAAAAAAUAAAGGUGGUUAAAUUGUUCUUCACAGUGAUGCCAUAGAAGAACCAUUUUGGUUCCACAAAGAACCACUGAGUCAAAGGUUCUUUCUUGCCCUUUAAACAAAAUGGAACCUUCUUUCACCACAAAUGCUCUUUAGAUUUUAAAGGUUCUUUAUGGAACCAUUUUUACAAAAAGUUUCUUCUAUGGUAUUGUGAAGCACCUUUAAUUUUAAGAGUGUAGGAGUUUGUAUGCUUGCUGUGGUGUUGAUGUAGCCAAUGUGCUCCCAGAGGUUUAUUAAAAAACACAGUGAAGUUUUAUUCUUAGAGUCUGGGGGUUGUUCAACUCUAAGCAAUACUAAAAAUCAGAAACACACUUGUUAAGAUACUAGGUGUUAAUUUGAAGCUGAACAGACUCCGUGUAAGUGAUCUAAAAAAAAAUCUGUUCUAUUUAGACACUGUGGACAUGAUGGAUAGAAUUGGAGAGUUUGUGAACCUGGCAGAGAGAGCACAGAGCACAGAUUUCAUUAGUUUGCUGAAGGAGAGAGAGAGAUAUAUUCCAUUACAUGUAUGACGUGAGUUUGCCCUCACCUACGUCAAGUACAUCAGAUACCAAAACAACUCUGGAAUAUCAGUAAAAACAGUUUUGUAUGUUCCCUUGUGCAGGAAGUGAAGGCAGUGAAGGUCCAAAGUGCACGGCAGUGUUUGACUUUGGGACAAGUUGCCCUGAGCUAGCAGGCAAUGCUUCUAUUUCUCAUUUGUUCAGCUAUAAUUUAUUAAAAAGGAAGAAUUUGAUAUGAAGAAAAACACUCCUUCCUUCUUCUUUUCAUUGUCUUCUCAAUGUCUUCUCGACAUGUUCACUAGCAUUUUUGGUAUGGAUAUAGUAG